AACGAACGCUGGCGGCAGGCUUAACACAUGCAAGUCGAGCGCAUGUCUUCGGACAUGAGCGGCAGACGGGUGAGUAACGCGUGGGAACGUACCCUUCAGUUCGGGAUAACCCAGGGAAACUUGGGCUAAUACCGGAUACGUCCGUAAGGAGAAAGGUUUACUGCUGAAGGAUCGGCCCGCGUCGGAUUAGCUAGUUGGUGGGGUAAAGGCCCACCAAGGCGACGAUCCGUAGCUGGUCUGAGAGGAUGAUCAGCCACACUGGGACUGAGACACGGCCCAGACUCCUACGGGAGGCAGCAGUGGGGAAUAUUGGACAAUGGGCGCAAGCCUGAUCCAGCCAUGCCGCGUGAGUGAAGAAGGCCUUAGGGUUGUAAAGCUCUUUCAGCGGGACGAUAAUGACGGUACCCGCAGAAGAAG
RNAcentral lists this ribosomal RNA (417 nucleotides) under uncultured bacterium. RNAcentral describes it as "bacterial SSU rRNA". It matches the Rfam family "Bacterial small subunit ribosomal RNA", at positions 29 to 490 of the family's 1533-position model. The record is from RNAcentral.